Molecule: transfer RNA, 65 nt
Filed under: Palaemon annandalei
Lineage: Eukaryota; Metazoa; Arthropoda; Malacostraca; Decapoda; Palaemonidae
Description: tRNA-Met
Source: RNAcentral
GAAARGAUAAGCUAAAAUAAGCUUAUGGGCUCAUACCCCGUCUAUGAAGAAUCCUUCUCCUUUCA